Molecule: ribosomal RNA, 524 nt
Filed under: uncultured bacterium
Lineage: Bacteria
Description: partial 16S ribosomal RNA
Rfam family: Bacterial small subunit ribosomal RNA
Source: RNAcentral
GACGAACGCUGGCGGCGUGCCUAAUACAUGCAAGUCGAGCGCAGGAAACUGACGGAACUCUUCGGAGGGAAGGCAGUGGAAUGAGCGGCGGACGGGUGAGUAACACGUAAGGAACCUGCCUCAAGGAUUGGGAUAACUCCGAGAAAUCGGAGCUAAUACCGGAUAGUUCAUCGGACCGCAUGGUCCGCUGAUGAAACGCGCUUCGGCGUCACCUUGAGAUGGCCUUGCGGUGCAUUAGCUAGUUGGUGGGGCAACGGCCCACCAAGGCGACGAUGCAUAGCCGACCUGAGAGGGUGAUCGGCCACACUGGGACUGAGACACGGCCCAGACUCCUACGGGAGGCAGCAGUAGGGAAUCUUCCACAAUGGACGAAAGUCUGAUGGAGCAACGCCGCGUGAGUGAUGAAGGUUUUCGGAUCGUAAAACUCUGUUGUAAGGGAAGAACACGUACGAGAGGGAAUGCUCGUACCUCGACGGUACCUUACGAGAAAGCCACGGCUAACUACGUGCCAGCCGCCGCCGUAA